This 279-nucleotide ribosomal RNA is filed under the name uncultured bacterium. RNAcentral describes it as "partial 16S ribosomal RNA". It matches the Rfam family "Bacterial small subunit ribosomal RNA", at positions 506 to 784 of the family's 1533-position model. The record is from RNAcentral.
UGCCAGCCGCCGCGGUAAUACGGAGGGUGCAAACGUUGCUCGGAAUUAUUGGGCGUAAAGCGCGUGUAGGCGGUUGAUUAAGUCCCGUGUGAAAUCCCUCGGCUUAACCGAGGAACUGCGCUGGAAACUGGUCAACUAGAGUACGAGAGAGGGUAGCGGAAUUCCCGGUGUAGAGGUGAAAUUCGUAGAUAUCGGGAGGAACACCAGUGGCGAAGGCGGCUACCUGGAUCGAUACUGACGCUGAGACGCGAAAGCGUGGGGAGCAAACAGGAUUAGAUA